Molecule: ribosomal RNA, 428 nt
Filed under: uncultured bacterium
Lineage: Bacteria
Description: bacterial SSU rRNA
Rfam family: Bacterial small subunit ribosomal RNA
Source: RNAcentral
ACGGGGGGGCACAAGCGGUGGAGCAUGUGGUUUAAUUCGAGGCUACACGAAGAACCUUACCUAGGGUCGACAUACUGGUGGUAGUGAACCGAAAGGGGAACGACGCUUCGGCGAGCCAGUACAGGUGCUGCAUGGUUGUCGUCAACUCGUGCCGUGAGGUGUUCGGUUAAGUCCGAAAACGAGCGCAACCCUCGGUGUGCGUUACACGUGUCGCACACGACUGCCCGUGAGAAACGGGAGGAAGGUGAGGAUGACGUCAAAUCAGCAUGGCCUAUAUCUCUAGGGCUACACACACGCUACAAUGGACGGUACAAUGCGUAGCGAAGCCGCGAGGCGGAGCCAAUCGAGAAAGCCGUUCGAAGUUCGGAUUUGCAGGGGGGCCUGGCCAACCCCGCCUGCAUGAAGCUGGAGUUGCUAGUAACCGCCGG